This 73-nucleotide transfer RNA is filed under the name Felis catus (domestic cat). It matches the Rfam family "tRNA". Rfam says of the family: Transfer RNA (tRNA) molecules are approximately 80 nucleotides in length. Their secondary structure includes four short double-helical elements and three loops (D, anti-codon, and T loops). Lineage: Eukaryota; Metazoa; Chordata; Mammalia; Carnivora; Felidae. The record is from Rfam by way of RNAcentral. RNAcentral also lists the same sequence under 2 other names.
GCCUGACUGGCUCAGUCGGUAGAGUACAUGAUUCUUGGUCUUGGGGUUGUGAGUUCAAACCUCAUGUUGGUCA